AAAAUGCUAGUUAAACCAUAACAUUAAACUGUCAAAUUAAAAUUACUAAAGUGCAUUUUA
RNAcentral lists this transfer RNA (60 nucleotides) under Gammarus fossarum. RNAcentral describes it as "tRNA-Asp". The record is from RNAcentral. Lineage: Eukaryota; Metazoa; Arthropoda; Malacostraca; Amphipoda; Gammaridae.